AGGCCUGGGAAUGAAAUAAAUUCAAAAUAUAAAUAAAUUACAUUUUGACAUUGUGUGUUUUGAAAAGAAUGUGAAUUAUUUUUUUUUUCAUUCCAUUACCGAAAUUCCAAGCAAAUCACAUUAGAAAAACUGUUAGUUUGGCUACGGCGAUUUUUUCCUUUCUCCAUCUAUCGCAAAACUGGUUUUAAAUUCAAAAUACAUGAGAUCAAAUGUGAACCCCUGUAAAUCAUCAAAAUACCGAAAAAGCGGCAUGUUAAAGCCAAGAUUGAAAAGACUAUUCACGGAAACUAGAAAUGUAGAGGAACACCGUUGUAUCGGAGCUCCAGUGGGGUUUGAAACAUAAUGAAGUUUUAUAUUUCAUAUUCAAGAGAAUUUAGUAAGGUAACGUACAUGGACAUGGAACGAGAGUCAAGUACAUAAGGACAUGUGCUAGGUGUAUGUUUGGCCUUCUUCUUUACUUUGACACCGAAUGACAAUGCGAAUGUUUUGCUGAUGGCAUUGCUGGUUUUGUUGCUGCCCCACUUUGUUUUUGUGGAACACUCUCAGAGGCCUAGUAAACUUGAUAUGUUUGGUGGUGUUCUCGUU
Musca domestica (house fly) is the source of this 585-nucleotide long non-coding RNA. RefSeq lists it as uncharacterized. The record is from RefSeq and is a predicted model, not a curated record. The transcript is spliced from 4 exons. NCBI's taxonomy places the organism in Eukaryota, Metazoa, Arthropoda, Insecta, Diptera, Muscidae.